RNAcentral lists this ribosomal RNA (233 nucleotides) under uncultured Actinomycetales bacterium. Its description in RNAcentral is "partial 16S ribosomal RNA". It matches the Rfam family "Bacterial small subunit ribosomal RNA", at positions 97 to 333 of the family's 1533-position model. Lineage: Bacteria; Bacillati; Actinomycetota; Actinomycetes; Actinomycetales. The record is from RNAcentral.
GGCGAACGGGUGAGUAACACGUGGGUGAUCUGCCCUGCACUUCGGGAUAAGCCUGGGAAACUGGGUCUAAUACCGGAUAGGACGAUGGUUUGGAUGCCAUUGUGGAAAGUUUUUCGGUGUGGGAUGAGCUCGCGGCCUAUCAGCUUGUUGGUGGGGUAAUGGCCUACCAAGGCGUCGACGGGUAGCCGGCCUGAGACGGGUGUACGGCCACAUUGGGACUGAGAUACGGCCAG